GAGAGAGAGAGAGAGAGAAAUAUAGAGGGUGGAGAGAAGACAGAAGAGAGAGAAGCAUUGGGCAAAGAAGGAGAGAACCACCAGUUGCUGAAAGAGGAAGUGCUGUUGUGAAGACAGGACAUUCUCAACAGCUCGAGAAGCAGCACUGAGGUAAGCAUGGGAGUGAUAAAACAGCCGUCAAGUCUGGUCCCAGGUUGAGGUUAAUGCUAAUCGUGAUAGGGGUUGUUCAAUACCAGACACCUAACAUGUUAGCAUUAGCUUCACUCUGUGAGAGCUCACCAAGAGGAAAAAACCAACCCCUGACUAACUGGAGACUGCUGCUACCACUGGUGCUGGGAAGAAGGACUCAUCAUGCAACUGGGGAUUAUGAUGCAUACGCAAAAAGGGAAAGUAAUGGACUGACUGUUCAGACUCAAGAUGCUGCAGUCAUAGCAAAGUGAAAAGGCCAACUUAAAAGCUUUUAAUACACCUCUGAUUCUUAUGUAAAUGUCAGUUAUUUUAGCUGAUCACAUCUCUUUUCAAGCAUGUGCAGGCCCCUGACUUCUUUAAGUUUCCACUGAGUAUAUGCAAUUAGAUUGUCUCAGCAAUUUCACAGCGGAGGUCCAUAAACCUGAGAGGAGGUCUGAUCCCCCAAAAUAAACAGAGAGGUGGUUGUGUGCACCCUAUCACACCCUAUGUUUAUGCCAGAUGCAGGACACCACAAUCAGUGAAGGUAGAGAGCAGUGUACGCACACCGGGGACACUAUACUGCUGUUGUCUCAGUGGACAAGGGCUUUAACAAAAUCACUCAUGUGAUAUAUGCAUCACUUAUACCAGGAAAACUAAAAAAAAGUAUGUAUUCUUUUAUCAGCUUAAGUUAAAUUUUCAUUUUUCAUAAACUAAGUACAUAAUUGACAACCAUGUGACGAGAAAUGCAUUGUCACAAAGAUGAAAAUGGACCUCACAAAGAGCAGAUGUUUUAACAUUAGUCAUGUCGAGUUAUGGGGGAUUUUUAAAUCUGCCCUAUGUUGUAUUUAAUUUUGGCUCAACAGAGAUAAUUGUGUUUGAAAUUGCAGCAAUUAGAGACAAAAAAGGGAAAGGAGAAAGAUUUUUUAAAAAAAAUCUGAAUCACAGUUCAUUUAGUGAAAAAUCAUUGGUUCUCAUCAUCAGGAGAACCAAAAACCAAGGAACUUAGAUUUGUUUUGAGAUUCACUUUGUAUUUGUACUGUAUGCCUUUUUGUUGGUUAGAUGUUUAAGACAAAAGGUGAAUUCAUAGGCUGAUUUCUUUCUUGUGUUGUGUUUGGAAUCUGCCCUCUAAAUGUAUGUCACAACAAGAAAAUAAAAUCAACCCUAAACAUC
Lates calcarifer (barramundi perch) is the source of this 1338-nucleotide long non-coding RNA. RefSeq lists it as uncharacterized. The record is from RefSeq and is a predicted model, not a curated record. NCBI's taxonomy places the organism in Eukaryota, Metazoa, Chordata, Actinopteri, Centropomidae. The transcript is spliced from 2 exons.